GACGAACCGAGCGAACGUUGUUCGGAAUCACUGGGCUUAAAGGGUGCGUAGGCGGGCUGCCAAGUUUGGGGUGAAAUCCUCCGGCUCAACCGGGGAAGUGCCUUGAAUACCGGCGGUCUCGAGGGAGGUAGGGGCGUGCGGAACUAACGGUGGAGCGGUGAAAUGCGUUGAUAUCGUUAGGAACUCCGGUGGCGAAGGCGGCACGCUAGACCUCUUCUGACGCUGAGGCACGAAAGCCAGGGGAGCGAACGGG
This 253-nucleotide ribosomal RNA is filed under the name uncultured bacterium. RNAcentral describes it as "partial 16S ribosomal RNA". It matches the Rfam family "Bacterial small subunit ribosomal RNA", at positions 524 to 776 of the family's 1533-position model. The record is from RNAcentral.